RNAcentral lists this long non-coding RNA (284 nucleotides) under Spirodela polyrhiza (greater duckweed). RNAcentral's name for it is "long non-coding RNA (SPOL_LNC001304)". The record is from RNAcentral. Lineage: Eukaryota; Viridiplantae; Streptophyta; Magnoliopsida; Alismatales; Araceae.
UAACUAUCGAUGCCCCUGGGGAACACCCAAUCAUCUUCCGUUUAACGGAUUCGUGGCUGGGUCCGAAACCUCAAUAGGAUCCGAACGUCUGUGGACCCGGUUGGCCUGAGGGCGGUGGACCAUGUUGAAUCAGGAGGACGAAAUCCCAUAAAACAAACGGACAAGCCUGAAAUAUGCUCAUCGCGUCGACGGCCGGGCCCCGUGGCCCUGGAAAUAUCGCCUCCUCUCCUUUCUAAUCUGGCGUCUUGCCACCGCGUGUGGUGGCUGGCCUUCGGGCUUCGCCG